Molecule: ribosomal RNA, 118 nt
Organism: Gorilla gorilla gorilla (western lowland gorilla)
Lineage: Eukaryota; Metazoa; Chordata; Mammalia; Primates; Hominidae
Source: Ensembl
GUCUACAGCCAUACCACCUAACGCGCCCGAUCUCGGGAGCGAAGCAGGGUCAGGCCUGGUUAGUACUUGGAUCAGAGAAAAGGUUGAACUUGAACAUAAUUAUAGGUAACAGUAAAAU